AUCUUUACUGACUCAAAGUAUGCUUUUAGGGUAUUGCAUGCUCACGCUGGUCUGUGGAAGCAAAGGGGAAUGCUAACAGCCCAAGGUUCUCCGGUUAAGCAUGGGUCUCAAAUUCUCCGGCUAUUAGAAGCGGUACAACUCCCCUCAGCAGUAGCAAGGUGUCAGGGCUGUAUCCCCACUUUGAACUUUAGGGUACAAAUGUGGGGGCCUGCAUGAAAACUUCUAAGCUUAACUACCAGCUUAGCUCUGGUCCGCUGCCACCAUUUCCAAUGGAUUCCCUCCCUGGGAAGCCUUGAAAAACCUUCACCAAUUCCCUGGUGAAUACAGUUCCAAACCCCUUGGAUCUUAAAACAAGGAGAAAUUAACCAUCCCCCCUCCUUCCUCCCACCAACUCCUGGUGAAUACAGAUCCAACCCCCUUGGAUCUAAAACAAGGAGAAAUUAACCAUUCCCCUUCCUUCCUUUCACCAACUCCUGGUGAAUACAGAUCCAAACCCCUUGGAUCUUAAAACAAGGAGAAAUUAACCAUUCCCCCUCCUUCCUUUCACCAACUCCUGGUGAAUACAGAUCCAAACCCCUUGGAUCUUAAAACAAGGAGAAAUUAACCAUUCCCCCUCCUUCCUUUCACCAACUCCUGGUGAAUCAAGAUCCAAACCCCUUGGAUCUUAAAACAAGGAAAAAUCAAUCAGGUUCUUAAAAAGAAGGCUUUUAAUUAAAGAAAAAGGUAAAAAUCAUCUCUGUAAAAUCAGUAUGGAAAGUAACCUUACAGGGUAAUCAAACUUAAAGAGCUCAGAGGACUCCCCUCUAGUCUUAGGUUCAAAGUACAGCAAACAAAGAUAAACACUCUAGUAAAAGGUACAUUUACAAGUUGAGAAAACAAAGGAAAACUAACAUGCCUUGCCUGGCUAUUUACUUACAAGUUUGAAAUAGGAGAGACUUGUUUAGAAAGAUGUGGAGAACCUGGAUUGAUGUCUGGUCCCUCUCAGUCCCGAGAGCGAACGACCUCCCCAAACAAAGAGCACAAACAAAAGCCUUCCCCCCCCCCAAGAUUUGAAAGUAUCUUGUCCCCUUAUUGGUCCUUUGGUCAGAUGCCAGCCAGGUUACCUGAGCUUCUUAACCCUUUACAGGGCAAAGGAUUUUGGAGUCUCUGUCCAGGAGGGAUUUUAUAGUACUGUACACAGGACAGCUGUUACCCUUCCCUUUAUAGUUAUGACACAAGGGCAAUGCCAGAGCAGACAGGGAAGCCAAGCGUGCUGCUACCCUGAAAUCACCAACAGAGGAGAAUGUCCAAAUGCAUGCCCUCAUCCCAUCAGUAGGUGAGCUUGCAGCCCCUCAGUACUCCCAUGAGGACAGAAACCUGGCUGACAGUCUCAAUCUCCAGGAAAAGGAGGAAUGGCUUUAUUCCACAGAGGGAAAAAUCCUCCUGCCCAAGGGCCUAAUCCGACCAGUGUUGCAGAAACUGCAUCAGACCACACACGCAGGCAGAGAGGCUCUUACCCAGCUUAUGAAUAAAUAUUUUCUAACCUCUAGACUUAAACCCUUAGCAUCACAGGUACAGGAUGAAUGUUUAAUCUGCCAAAAGAACAACCCUCGACCAGGAGUAGCAGUGUUACCAGCCACCCUGUAACCUACCCCAGGCCCAGGAUUGGUGUGGCAAAUAGACUUUACUGAGUUUCCCAGGACCCAAGGGUACAGGUACCUCCUUAUCUUGGUGGAUCGAUUCAGUGGAUGGCCUGAGGCCUUCCCAUGUCGUAACAACACUGCCAAGACAGUGGCUCUUAAGUCACCUUCAGCCCCCAACUAAAACCUCUCCAGCGCAUCAUCAGAGAUCUACAACCUAUCCUGAAAGAUGAUCCUUUACUCUCACAGAUCUUGGGAGACAGACCUGUCCUCGCUUUCAGACAACCCCCCAACCUAAAGCAAAUACUCACCAGCAACCACACAUCACUGAACAAAACCACUAACCCAGGAACCUAUCCUUGUAACAAACCCCGAUGCCAACUCUGUCCACAUAUCUAUUCAAGUGACAUCAUCAUAGGACCUAAUCACAUCAGCCAUACCAUCAGGGGCUCGUUCACCUGCACAUCUACCAAUGUGAUAUAUGCCAUCAUGUGCCAGCAAUGCCCCUCUGCCAUGUACAUUGGCCAAACCGGACAGUCUCUACGCAAAAGAAUUAAUGGACACAAAUCUGACAUCAGGAAUCAAAAUACUCAAAAACCAGUGGGAGAACACUUUAACCUGUCUGGUCAUUCAGUGACAGACCUGCGGGUGGCUAUAUUACAACAGAAAAACUUCAAAAACAGACUCCAACGAGAGACUGCUGAGCUGGAAUUGAUAUGCAAACUAGACACAAUCAACUCCGGUUUGAAUAAGGACUGGGAAUGGCUGAGCCAUUACAAACAUUGAAUCUAUCUCCCCUUACUAACACGGCUGCUACUCUGAAACCUGCUCUUAAGUUUGUUAAGAAGAUCAUUCCUCGCUUCGGCCUCCCCCAGCGGAUGGAAUUUGAUAAUGGAACACACUUCACAUCUCAAGUUGUUCAAAAGAUAUCAAGUGCUCUGCAAAUCCCCUGGAAGCUCCACACACCAUGGCGACCACAAGCCAGUGGAGUAGUGGAACCACAAAUCAGACACUCAAGCGACACCUCUCAAAGGUCUGUCAGGAGGCCUCUCUUAGGUGGCCUGAUGCUUUGCCCCUUGUGUUACUCCGCAUUCAUGCUCUCCCCAAGGGUAGGUUAGGGCUUAGUCCCUUCGAGACUAUGUUUGGAAGGGCAUGGCCUCUGAAUGGUACACCGGUUCUGGCAGGGGAGUGGGAGAUGGGGUGUGGUUUCUUGUCUUAGUACAUGUGCUCUCUGUCUGCUGUUCUUUCUUCUCUUCACAGAUACACCAAAGAUUCACAGCCACUUCUGCUGGAUACCCCGAUCCACUCCCUGCAGCCUGGUGACUCCGUUCUCGUGCGGACCUGGAAGGAUGAGCCUCUCCAAGAGAAGUGAAAAGGACCCCACAUCGUCCUGCUUGUUUCCCACACAGCGGCAAAGGUCGAAGGACACAAGAACUGGUUUCAUCACUCUCGACUGAAAGCAGUACCCGCUCCUGAACAGUGGACUGUCCAGCCUGCUGAGAAGACUGCUAACGACGAUUUGGGACUUAAGCUGUUAUUCAAAAGACAGUAAGGGUCACUGGGAAUGCCUGGUGAUCUCUCUGAACAGCCACAGCGCAUUCUCCGCGAGAACCCUGAGCAUUGGUUUUAUCUAUUCACAGUAGGCCGACCUAACCUCUGGUCCUGGUCCUUUUAUUUUUUGAUUUGUUUAAUAUCAAUACUUCUUAUCCGCUGGGCAUUUGGGUUGUUGUAAUCUCAAUAUGGGUUCAGGUUUAGGGUUUCUCACAACAUUCCUUUUUGUCACAGAAGCACUCCUUCAGUUACCUAAUGUUUCAUUCACAUCGCAUGCAGGAUGGGGAGCCAUCCCUGCAGAUAUGGCUACCAAUACCUAUGAGUCCCUGAAAAUUUCCUUUGCCUGUGAGUUCAAUCUCUCCAACUGUUGGAUAUGUGCUCAGACUCCCCACCAUUCAGCGGGAUUGCCCUGGAGAGUAGUUUCCCAAAAUUGGUCAGACUAUUGUCAAAGGUGGAUGGUUACAGCAGUAGCACCUCUGACAAUUUGAGUUUGCGAUCUAACUGUACUGCGGAAGCUCCUUAUGGCCUACACAAUGGCUCUUGGAAUUCCCACUAUAGUAGCACUCUUAAGCCCCAGCCGAUUCAUUUACGUUCUCCACCCGCUGGUCUCAUAUGUUAUUAGCAAGCCAGUACAAGUAAGCAUACCUGGUUUGCAAGCAUUAGUAAGUGUAGAUUUUAUAUUCGUCAUGGUAUAAGUCUCACUGUUCCUUUACUAAAUGCCACCGGUUGGCAAACCGGCACUGCAUUCUUUGCCCUUUCCCCACAAGCCACCCUACAGAACUUACAAGGUAACAAUGGAAAGGCUAGUUAUGGUAAAGCAUUCUGGGUUUGUGGUAAUAGAGCCUAUAAAUGGCUCCCUCAUGGUUGGCAUGGUAGCUGUUACAAAGGCUAUCUUGCUCCUCCCCUCCGUGUUCUCACCAAGGUUCCCUCAGGUCACCCUUGGUACUAUCGGUCCCUGAGAGCUACCAUUGAACCCAUUGGUAAAGGAGACAGGUUUGGGAUGAUAUCCCUCCCUUCCUAUGGGGUGGGAUGGCUAACCCAACUCUACAGAAGACUGUCUAAAUUUCUCACUCAGUUUGCCAAUGAUACCCUGGCCAUAGAGAAACGGAUAAGUGCUAAGCUGUACCAGCUUCGACUGCUGGCUUUGCAGAACCGCCAGGCCCUAGAUUAUGUGUUAGCUUCACGGGGUGGAGUAUGUGCCCUUAUUGGAGAAGAAUGUUGUACCUAUGUCCCGGAGUUUUCACAGAAUAUUAACAAGCAUAUCUUGUCAGCCGAACAGGCCUUGAACCAGUGGAAGGCCCAGGAAGGGGAACCCACUAUUUUGGAUUCCCUUUGGGGUUGGAUACCUGGUUUAGGGGAACUAGGGGGACUAGGGGGAAGCAUUGUUCGCAUCUUGCUCACAGGUGUGGUGAGAUGUUUUGUCCUUUUCCUUUUGCUCGUUUGCUGUAAAGUGCUCAUAUGUAAGAUUUGUACCUCCCAUUCCCCAAAAGUUCCCUUAUACCCUUUCAUUGAUAAUCCUGAUUGCAUGGAGCUUAAUCGCAUUUUGUCUUUAGAGUAUGAGAAAACUCUGACAAAGGUUUGUUGAGUGUUCUCAAAGGAGGGAUUGUUGGUGUCACUAGGCAUAGCUACCAGGUAACUCGGGAAAGUGGAAGGCCAAAAGUGCCAAUGAAGCUCUUCUGCUCUGGGCCUACCUGAACCACAGAACUCCAUCUUGUGAACUCUCACCUACUUCCAUGCUAAUUGCCUUGAUGCUGAAGCAGAAUAUGUAAUAGUCAGCUUUUCUAGCAGACAGCUGCUGUUUUGCUCACUCACAAACGCUGUAGUGAUAAGACGAGGGAAGACUGCUGUAAACAGGCCUUGCAAGGCCAAAAGAUAAGCAUGUGACUGGGAAAGUUUCUAACACGCACACUGUGUACCUGCUGUAACUGUUGUCUGGAAGGGAGGGGUAAGGGUGAAAUAGACAAAGGCUUGCACAGAAACUGCUUGGAAUAUAAAAGGGAAAAUUUGUUUGUAUUUGUUGCACUUGAUUUGAGACAUGCUGGUCUCCUAGUGCCUUUUCAGAGCUCUGAAAUAAACUUGGCUUGCUUUCUC
Molecule: long non-coding RNA, 5261 nt
Organism: Malaclemys terrapin pileata
Lineage: Eukaryota; Metazoa; Chordata; Testudines; Emydidae
Exons: 2
Source: RefSeq, a predicted model, not a curated record